GCUCUUUUCUCCUCCGGAUCAGCGUAGAGGCUGGACGUAGGAGAAUCUCAGCAGCUCAAAGAAGAUGGAGGAGGAGGAGGGGAAGGAAGGUGUCAGAAGAGAUGUGAAGCAGUCCUUGGAAGGCAGGAAAACCUGUAUUCAAGCACGGCUUUCUGGCAUCUACAUCAAGCAUUGUGUGACCUUGAGCAAAAAUCUGCUUCAUCUUCUAGUGCUCUAGCAAUUUUCUAAUAUUAUAAAUUGCCAGCCUCAUUGACUGAAGGAAUUCCCUCUAUCAAAGAAAUCUCAUAUGGAGUCCAAAGUGAUUCUUUGCUCAUUUCAGACGGAAAAAUAAGGCAAUAAAAUAGGGGAUGCUGA
Molecule: long non-coding RNA, 354 nt
Organism: Phascolarctos cinereus (koala)
Lineage: Eukaryota; Metazoa; Chordata; Mammalia; Diprotodontia; Phascolarctidae
Source: RefSeq, a predicted model, not a curated record